UAUAAACAGCACGUAUCGCUGCUAGUCACACGGUCGGUUUAACCAUUUUUGUAUCCUGUGAUUUUUAAGUGUUUUAAAUUUAAGAUUUAAAAAAACAACAAUCUUACCAUGUUUACCGAGUCUUUGCUGAUGUACGACACCCCGGUGCUGGUGAGCAAGAAAACCGAUGAAUCACCAAAGCUUCAACGUAAGAUCUCUGGUCCAGAUCCAUGUCCACCCAAACCCAAGAGCUCUUCAUCUGAUAUCAUCAAGCAGCAAACAGAGGAGCUUCUUAAUGCCAUGCUGCCACCAAGGGAAUGGAGGGAGAACGAUCAGCUGUGGGUACAGAAGGUGUCCAGCACGCCGUGCACCCGGACAGACAUCAUUCAUCUGCAAGAGGAACUGGAUCUCAAACUUCAGCAGAGAAAGGCUAACGAUACGGGCGUUUGUCCUGUCCGCAGAGAGCUCUACACACAGUGCUUUGAUGAGCUCGUCAGACAAGUGACCAUCAACUGUGCUGAGAGAGGACUGCUGCUUUUACGAGUGAGAGAUGAGAUUCGCAUGACCAUCUCGUCUUAUCAGAACCUGUAUGAGAGCAGCGUGGCCUUCGGCAUGAGGAAAGCUCUGGAGGCUGAGAAAGAGAAGUCAGACAACGUCAAAAGGAUUGCAGACUUGGCGGAUGAGCUGACUGAACUGGAAAGACAGUUGAAUGAGAAGAAGGCUGAAUGUGAGGAAAUGGAGAGACAGGCAAAUGAACAGCGACUGGUUGAAGAGCAGAAGCACGCUGAGGAGAUCGAGUCUCUCAAAUACACCAACCUGCAAAUUAAGGACCAGUUGAAUACAGUCAUCACACAAAUGUAGUUAUAACAGACAUGUUUAAAAAUGGAGCCAGUCCGUGCCGGUAGACGAUUAGGUCCAGAUAGCGAGUGGAUGAAAUGGAUGCACCCUUGAAGCUGAGGGAAGCUGGUCACAAGCUGGUGAGGAUCUUUAAUUAAUCAUGUCAGACUUGUGCAUCUCUCUUGCAGGAAACCCUGAAGAUGCUCUACAACACGGACAAUAAGAAAAAGAAAAGAAAGAAUUAAAAAACACAAAAUGAAACACAAAGAUAGAACAAUAAAGCAAAUGUUGUAAAGU
Ictalurus punctatus (channel catfish) is the source of this 1113-nucleotide RNA transcript. It is a transcript of the gene named axonemal dynein light intermediate polypeptide 1-like, with no coding region annotated. The record is from RefSeq and is a predicted model, not a curated record. Lineage: Eukaryota; Metazoa; Chordata; Actinopteri; Siluriformes; Ictaluridae. The transcript is spliced from 7 exons.